ACGACUACAUAUCAGGCAUAUCAAUAAGCGGAGGAAAAGAAACUAACUAAGGAUUCCCUCAGUAACGGCGAGUGAAGCGGGAAGAGCUCAAAUUUGAAAUCUUCAAGGUUUUACCUUGACGAAUUGUAGUUUAAAGAAGUGUUUUCUGUUGAAGUUUUGGUAAAAGUUCUUUGGAAUAGGACAUCAUAGAGGGUGAGAAUCCCGUAUUUGACCAUUAUUUUCCAGCUGUGUGAUACACUUUCAAAGAGUCGGAUUGUUUGGGAAUGCAGUCCAAAAUGGGUGGUAAAUUUCAUCUAAAGCUAAAUAUUGGCGAGAGACCGAUAGCGAACAAGUACCGUGAGGGAAAGAUGAAAAGAACUUUGAAAAGAGAGUUAAACAGUACGUGAAAUUGUCAAAAGGGAAGCGUUUGACACCAGUGUUGUUUUCUCGAAAAUCAAUUAAAAAAAGUUGGAUUUUGUGUUGUAUUGACCUUAACAGCUUGCUUCACUCUUUUCCAGCUUUUUUUAAUGCACUUCUCGUUUAACAAGUCAACAUCAGUUUCUUUUGUUGUAAAAGGGUCAUUGGAAGGUGGCUUUCUCUUCGGAGAAAGUGUUUAUAGCCUUUGAUCUCCGCAAUCGGAGAGACUGAGGUCUGCAGCGUAGAUCCUUCGGGAUUAGAUACAUUUGUGCUAAGCCUACAGCUUUUCAUAGACAACUUGUUGACUAUGUUUAGUCUUGUAACUUACCCGCUUAUGCUAUUUUACCUACGCUUAGGAUGUUGAGCGCAUGUCUCUCUCU
Molecule: ribosomal RNA, 776 nt
Filed under: uncultured Neocallimastigales
Lineage: Eukaryota; Fungi; Neocallimastigomycota; Neocallimastigomycetes; Neocallimastigales
Description: partial large subunit ribosomal RNA
Rfam family: Eukaryotic large subunit ribosomal RNA
Source: RNAcentral